AUGCUGCGCCACGCUGAGUACCUGGAAGCCAGAGGUGCAGUCGUCUCCAACGUCGAUUGGCUCCGUCUGCUGGUUCGUGCCAACGAUCUCAUCCUUGAUGUCUCCGAUCAUCUGGUGGGGAGCCUCGACUUGGAUCCGAUCCAUGACGUCAACGACCUGCGCCUUCGAGCCUUGGAGCAUUCGCCACCUCCAUCGACGAUCUGGCGACCGGCCUUCAAGCGGGCGUCUUCCACGACUUCGCCAACAUCUUCGCCGCCUGGAUCACCGAGGCCAUCGCUGGAUUCGGGGACGGCGUCUUGA
RNAcentral lists this ribosomal RNA (300 nucleotides) under Triticum aestivum (bread wheat). RNAcentral's name for it is "partial small subunit ribosomal RNA". Lineage: Eukaryota; Viridiplantae; Streptophyta; Magnoliopsida; Poales; Poaceae. The record is from RNAcentral.